This 907-nucleotide long non-coding RNA is filed under the name Elaeis guineensis (African oil palm). Its description in RNAcentral is "long non-coding RNA (EGUI_LNC005245)". The record is from RNAcentral. Lineage: Eukaryota; Viridiplantae; Streptophyta; Magnoliopsida; Arecales; Arecaceae.
AACUAAAGGUUCUUAUGCUGCAAACCUCUAAAAUAAAUCAUUUUAUUUUAAAAAAGCAAAUGGAACUUCAGUUUUCUGAAACUUGAAUCUGAAAAGGGUUUAAUCAAGCUUUGGAAAAUUGUCUCACAUUGCCUUUUUCGGGGCAUGCCGAAUCGUAGUGGUGCAAAAUCAAGUCGGUUUGCUGAUUCAGUUUAAAGCUGUCUAAAGCAGUCUAAAUAGGACAAAACUGUCCAAUGUUGUUUGACAUGAUUUGGCUCGAAUUAGUUCUUGCUCCUCCCGUGAGAAAUGAGGAAAAGGCAUCCCGAUGCCUUUCUCCCCUUUUUUCUGCUGAGAACAUUGUUGAAGGAUGGAAGGUGAAAAGAAUUAGAGAAGAAUAGAUUUCUUGCUAGUUUGAGCUCUAAUCCAAUCUAUGAUCACGUACAAUCUAUUUUGCCUCUUCAUUCAUCUCUUUUUUUUUUCUCUCUUUUUCUAGAUUAAAAUAGGAUAAAAAUGAUAAAAUAAGAAAAAUUCUGCAAAAUUUUUUAUUUCGCUGUGAUUAUAUGACAUUGUAGAUCUAAAGAUGUUACGUGAAUUGAAGAAAAAUCAUGUUUCUUCAUUGCUCGUAAAUUUUUUAGAUCAAAAAUAUAUUUUUUGAUAUAAAAAUAAUAAUAAAAAUAAUAUUCAAAAAUUAAAAAAAUUGGAAGCAUAUUUGGUGAUGUGCAUGGUACUUACUGUUUUUUCUUGUUUUAAAUUUAGAAAUUGCUAUGACAACUCAAACCUAAGCCUAAAUUUGAAAAAAUUUAAAAAUAAUAGUAAUUAAGGUAUCCCUAUAAGCUGGAAAAAAAAUAUAGUACCUCUUGUCGACUUCUGCAUCAAUCCAAAUUUAAAAUAAUUUUUAUAACUAAAUAUUUAUUUUUAAAUAAAAAUU